AUACGGAGGAUGCGAGCGUUAUCCGGAUUUAUUGGGUUUAAAGGGAGCGUAGGUGGGAUAUUAAGUCAGCUGUGAAAGUUUGGGGCUCAACCUUAAAAUUGCAGUUGAUACUGGUUUCCUUGAGUACGGUACAGGUGGGCGGAAUUCGUUGUGUAGCGGUGAAAUGCAUAGAUAUGACGAAGAACACCGAUUGCGUAGGCAGCUGACCAGACCGCAAAUGACGCUCAUGCACGAAAGUGCGGGGAUCGAACAGGAUUAGAUACCCUGGUAGUCCGCACAGUAAACGAUGAAUACUUGUUUUCGGCGAUAUAAUGUCGGAGGCAAAGCGAAAGCGAUAAGUAUUCCACCUGGGGAGUACGCCGGCAACGGUGAAACUCAAAUGAAUUGACGGGG
RNAcentral lists this ribosomal RNA (393 nucleotides) under uncultured bacterium. Its description in RNAcentral is "partial 16S ribosomal RNA". It matches the Rfam family "Bacterial small subunit ribosomal RNA", at positions 523 to 918 of the family's 1533-position model. The record is from RNAcentral.